Molecule: ribosomal RNA, 621 nt
Filed under: Marasmius brunneospermus
Lineage: Eukaryota; Fungi; Basidiomycota; Agaricomycetes; Agaricales; Marasmiaceae
Description: eukaryotic LSU rRNA
Rfam family: Eukaryotic large subunit ribosomal RNA
Source: RNAcentral
UUGACCUCAAAUCAGGUAGGACUACCCGCUGAACUUAAGCAUAUCAAUAAGCGGAGGAAAAGAAACUAACAAGGAUUCCCUUAGUAACUGCGAGUGAAGAGGGAAAAGCUCAAAUUUAAAAUCUGGCAGCUUAGCUGUCCGAGUUGUAAUUUAGAGAAGUGUUACCCGCGCUGGACCAUGUACAAGUCUCCUGGAAUGGAGCGUCAUAGAGGGUGAGAAUCCCGUCUCUGACAUGGGCUACCAGGGCAAUUGUGGUGCGCUCUCGAAGAGUCGAGUUGUUUGGGAAUGCAGCUCUAAAUGGGUGGUAAAUUCCAUCUAAAGCUAAAUAUUGGCGAGAGACCGAUAGCGAACAAGUACCGUGAGGGAAAGAUGAAAAGAACUUUGGAAAGAGAGUUAAACAGUACGUGAAAUUGCUGAAAGGGAAACGCUUGAAGUCAGUCGCGUUGGCCGGGGAUCAGCCUUGCUUUUAUUGGUGAGGUGUACUUCCUGGUUGACGGGUCAGCAUCAGUUUCGACCAUUGGAAAAAGGCUAGGGGAAUGUGGCACCUUCGGGUGUGUUAUAGCCCCUUGUUGUAUACAGUGGUUGGGACUGAGGAACUCAGCACGCCGAAAGGCCGGGUUU